AUACGUAGGGGGCGAGCGUUAUCCGGAUUUAUUGGGCGUAAAGCGUGUGUAGGCGGUUUGUUAAGCUUAAGAUUAAAGCCCGAGGCUUAACAUCGGUUCGUCUUAAAAACUGGCAGACUUGAGAGCGGUAGAGGCAAGUGGAAUUUCUAGUGUUGCGGUUAAAUGCGUAGAGAUUAGAAAGAACAACAGUGGCGAAGGCGGCUUGCUGGGCUGUUACUGACGCUGAGACACAAAAGCGUGGGGAGCAAAUAGGAUUAGAUACCCUAGUAGUCCACGCCGUAAACGAUGAGUACGAAGUGUCGGGUAACCGGUGCUGAAGUUAACACAUUAAGUACUCCGCCUGAGUAGUACGGUCGCAAGGCUGAAACUCAAAUGAAUUGGCGGGG
RNAcentral lists this ribosomal RNA (386 nucleotides) under uncultured bacterium. RNAcentral describes it as "partial 16S ribosomal RNA". It matches the Rfam family "Bacterial small subunit ribosomal RNA", at positions 523 to 918 of the family's 1533-position model. The record is from RNAcentral.